Molecule: long non-coding RNA, 283 nt
Filed under: Vulpes vulpes (red fox)
Lineage: Eukaryota; Metazoa; Chordata; Mammalia; Carnivora; Canidae
Description: lncRNA (ENSVVUG00000009270.1)
Source: RNAcentral
UAAAAGCUUUAAUUUCUUCCCUUUAAGACAUAAAAUGAUGGAGAGUUUUGGGAAGAAUUCUGUAUCCCCUCCUCAUGGGCCAGUGGGAAAUUUUACACUGGUUGGAAGUAAGAUUGCAGUUGCAUGGAAUUCUUGCCACAUCCCAAGAAUAGCUGAUUUUGUCACAUUUACCAGCUUCCUUAUCUGUGAAGAAACAAUGAUGUACUCACAAGCCUUCGAGAAGGGAAGAAAAACUGUCUAUGUCUUUGCCUUUCUUGAAUGCCAUCUCCAGAAAGUGAGAUGA